RNAcentral lists this transfer RNA (72 nucleotides) under Candidozyma auris. RNAcentral's name for it is "[Candida] auris tRNA-His". Lineage: Eukaryota; Fungi; Ascomycota; Pichiomycetes; Serinales; Metschnikowiaceae. The record is from RNAcentral.
CGCGAAACGAAGACUACCUAGGCUACGAAGGCAACGGAAGCGUAUUUCCAGGGCCAAACCACUUUGACUUUG